Molecule: unclassified non-coding RNA, 334 nt
Filed under: soil metagenome
Description: partial contains 5.8S ribosomal RNA, internal transcribed spacer 2, and large subunit ribosomal RNA
Rfam family: 5.8S ribosomal RNA (bases 1-120)
Source: RNAcentral
GAUGAAGAACGCAGCGAAAUGCGAUAAGUAAUGUGAAUUGCAGAAUUCAGUGAAUCAUCGAAUCUUUGAACGCACAUUGCGCCCGCCAGUAUUCUGGCGGGCAUGCCUGUUCGAGCGUCAUUUCAACCAUCAAGCCCUGCUUGCGUUGGGGUCCUGCGGCUGCCCGCAGGCCCUGAAAACCAGUGGCGGGCUCGCUAGUCACACCGAGCGCAGUAAUACAUCUCGCUUUGGGCGUGCGGCGGGUUCUUGCCGUUAAACACCCCCUUUUUACCAAGGUUGACCUCGGAUCAGGUAGGAAUACCCGCUGAACUUAAGCAUAUCUAUAAGCGGAGGA